RNAcentral lists this ribosomal RNA (498 nucleotides) under uncultured bacterium. RNAcentral describes it as "partial 16S ribosomal RNA". It matches the Rfam family "Bacterial small subunit ribosomal RNA", at positions 30 to 523 of the family's 1533-position model. The record is from RNAcentral.
AUUGAACGCUGGCGGCAUGCUUUACACAUGCAAGUCGAACGGCAGCGCGGGGCAACCUGGCGGCGAGUGGCGAACGGGUGAGUAAUAUAUCGGAACGUACCCAAGAGUGGGGGAUAACGUAGCGAAAGUUACGCUAAUACCGCAUACGAUCUAUGGAUGAAAGCGGGGGAUCUUCGGACCUCGUGCUCCUGGAGCGGCCGAUAUCUGAUUAGCUAGUUGGUGAGGUAAAGGCACACCAAGGCGACGAUCAGUAGCUGGUCUGAGAGGACGACCAGCCACACUGGGACUGAGACACGGCCCAGACUCCUACGGGAGACAGCAGUGGGGAAUUUUGGACAAUGGGCGCAAGCCUGAUCCAGCAAUGCCGCGUGAGUGAAGAAGGCCUUCGGGUUGUAAAGCUCUUUUGUCAGGGAAGAAACGGUUGGGGCUAAUAUCCCCGGCUAAUGACGGUACCUGAAGAAUAAGCACCGGCUAACUACGUGCCAGCAGCCGCCGUAA